This is a long non-coding RNA of Ornithodoros turicata, 363 nucleotides long. RefSeq lists it as uncharacterized. The transcript is spliced from 3 exons. Lineage: Eukaryota; Metazoa; Arthropoda; Arachnida; Ixodida; Argasidae. The record is from RefSeq and is a predicted model, not a curated record.
GAGGAACAUAAAAAGCCCAGGAGAGAGCACCACACGCGAGCCUACCAUGGUUGACUUGGGGGACGGUGUCAUGGUUCCAGAAUCCACCCUCGCACGUCUAGAACAAACCUACAGAGGCUCAGCAUGCCGUUUUGCACGUGCGCUGUUGAGGGUGCUCUUCACGGAAGAAGAAUUGAAGAAAAAGAGUCUCUUUGGAAAGCCCGCCAACAAUGGGAAGGGGCAGGAACAAAAAGAUGCCCUGGACCCAAGGCGUGUAAAAGCAGUUCUUGGAAAGACUUGCUCAGUGUUCCAGUGUUCUGAUGCGCCAAUAAAGAGGACCCUAAGCUCCCUCCUUCAAAAACAGAACAAGAAAUACGAAGAAGU